RNAcentral lists this ribosomal RNA (496 nucleotides) under uncultured bacterium. RNAcentral's name for it is "partial 16S ribosomal RNA". It matches the Rfam family "Bacterial small subunit ribosomal RNA", at positions 28 to 506 of the family's 1533-position model. The record is from RNAcentral.
GAUGAACGCUGGCGGCGUGCCUAAUACAUGCAAGUCGAGCGAACAGACGAGGAGCUUGCUCCUCUGACGUUAGCGGCGGACGGGUGAGUAACACGUGGAUAACCUACCUAUAAGACUGGGAUAACUUCGGGAAACCGGAGCUAAUACCGGAUAAUAUAUUGAACCGCAUGGUUCAAUAGUGAAAGACGGUUUUGCUGUCACUUAUAGAUGGAUCCGCGCCGCAUUAGCUAGUUGGUAAGGUAACGGCUUACCAAGGCAACGAUGCGUAGCCGACCUGAGAGGGUGAUCGGCCACACUGGAACUGAGACACGGUCCAGACUCCUACGGGAGGCAGCAGUAGGGAAUCUUCCGCAAUGGGCGAAAGCCUGACGGAGCAACGCCGCGUGAGUGAUGAAGGUCUUCGGAUCGUAAAACUCUGUUAUUAGGGAAGAACAAAUGUGUAAGUAACUAUGCACGCCUUGACGGUACCUAAUCAGAAAGCCACGGCUAACUACGU